This 71-nucleotide transfer RNA is filed under the name Pseudocercospora fijiensis CIRAD86. It matches the Rfam family "tRNA". Rfam says of the family: Transfer RNA (tRNA) molecules are approximately 80 nucleotides in length. The record is from Rfam by way of RNAcentral. Lineage: Eukaryota; Fungi; Ascomycota; Dothideomycetes; Mycosphaerellales; Mycosphaerellaceae.
GGUGGCAUAGUAUAGUGGUCAGUACAGCUCGUUGUGGCCGAGCAGACCUCGGUUCGAUUCGUAUGUCCUCU